This is an unclassified non-coding RNA of Lepisosteus oculatus (spotted gar), 296 nucleotides long. Its record names the gene 7SK. It matches the Rfam family "7SK RNA". Rfam says of the family: 7SK was discovered as an abundant small nuclear RNA in the mid-70s but a possible function has only recently been suggested. Two independent studies have found that 7SK RNA binds the CDK9/cyclin T complex (known as elongation factor P-TEFb). P-TEFb activates transcription by phosphorylating the C-terminal domain of RNA polymerase II. NCBI's taxonomy places the organism in Eukaryota, Metazoa, Chordata, Actinopteri, Semionotiformes, Lepisosteidae. The record is from Ensembl.
AGCUGUGACCUGUUACUGACAGCUCUUCCCCAGUGAUCUCUAGGAGACAUUUCUGCUGAUCUGCCUGGCUGGGUGGUGUCCCUCUUUUGUUUUCUUUUGAUGCUCAUUAAGCUCUGCUCUUGCUGGAAGAGGGCAGGGCCAUCCUGAAGACUGAAUCAUUCUUUGUUUCCUGGGUAUACGAGUAGGUGUACCACUAAAUGAGUUCAAGUCCUCUUGUAGGAGAGAGGCAAGGAAUAUGUUACACUCCAUAUCUUCAUCCACAAGUAGCACUGCGUGCGGCAAGUUGGUUACAUUCA